This 549-nucleotide ribosomal RNA is filed under the name uncultured prokaryote. Its description in RNAcentral is "bacterial SSU rRNA". It matches the Rfam family "Bacterial small subunit ribosomal RNA", at positions 355 to 896 of the family's 1533-position model. The record is from RNAcentral.
UGGGGAAUAUUGGACAAUGGGGGAAACCCUGAUCCAGCGACGCCGCGUGUGUGAAGAAGGCCUGCGGGUUGUAAAGCACUUUUAGUGGGGACAAAAAGCUACGGACUAACACUCUGUGGUCUUGAUUUAACUCACAGAAAAAGCACCGGCUAACUCUGUGCCAGCAGCCGCGGUAAUACAGAGGGUGCGAGCGUUAAUCGGAAUUACUGGGCGUAAAGCGCGCGUAGACGGUUUUGUAAGUCAGAUGUGAAAUCCCCGGGCUCAACCUGGGAACUGCAUUUGAUACUGCAUGGCUAGAGUACGGUAGAGGGAAGCGGAAUUUCCGGUGUAGCGGUGAAAUGCGUAGAUAUCGGAAGGAACACCAGUGGCGAAAGCGGCUUCCUGGACCAGUACUGACGUUCAUGUGCGAAAGCGUGGGGAGCAAACAGGAUUAGAUACCCUGGUAGUCCACGCCAUAAACGAUGACAACUAGAUGUUGGGAGGGUCUGCCUCUCGGUGUCGCAGCUAACGCGUUAAGUUGUCCGCCUGGGGAGUACGGCCGCAAGGUUG